This 123-nucleotide non-coding RNA is filed under the name Oryctolagus cuniculus (rabbit). RNAcentral describes it as "Eukaryotic large subunit ribosomal RNA". It matches the Rfam family "Eukaryotic large subunit ribosomal RNA", at positions 2200 to 2320 of the family's 3401-position model. The record is from Rfam by way of RNAcentral. Lineage: Eukaryota; Metazoa; Chordata; Mammalia; Lagomorpha; Leporidae.
ACCUUGUCUAAAUAUGAUCAAGAAGAAGAAAAUUCAAUGAAGCGCGGGGUAAAUGGUGGGGAGUAACUAUGACUCUUAAGGUAGCCAAAAUGCCUCGUCAUCUAAUUAGUGACGCGCAUGAAU